CAUAGCCUAAAGGUAUAGUUUUUUAGGUAAUUUYUGCUCAAUGAAAUUUAAAUGGCCGCAGUACUUUGACUGUGCUAAGGUAGCAUAAUCAAUUGUCUUUUAAUUGAGGACUAGAAUGAAUGAAUUUAUGGUUAAAUUUUUUAUUUAUAUAUUUUAUUAAAACUUGUUUAUUAGGUGAAAAUACCUAAAAAAAUUUAUUAGACGAGAAGACCCCAGGAAUUUUAAAUUUUUUUUAUUGGGGCGAUAUCUAAACAUAUUAAACUUUAGAUUUUUUUAUAAAACGAAAAAUUUUAAUAAAAAAUAAAUUACCCUGGGGAUAACAGCAUAAUUUUUUAUAAAGAUUGUGACCUCGAUGUUGGAUUAGAAAAAAAUUUUACUUAAAGAGUAAAUUUUUAUGUUCUGUUCGAACAAUAAUAAAAUUUUCUACGUGA
Molecule: ribosomal RNA, 431 nt
Filed under: Succinea manaosensis
Lineage: Eukaryota; Metazoa; Mollusca; Gastropoda; Stylommatophora; Succineidae
Description: partial 16S ribosomal RNA
Source: RNAcentral